GCGAAAAAGGUAACGCACAAGUUGGAAGACCCAAUAGUUUUCUAACUUCGCUUCUGGUAAAGCAACAGAGUUGGAACAAGCAGAUAUAUUAUAAUUGGGUCACCGGAAAGCCAAAAAGGUAACGCACAAGUUGGAAGACCCAAUAGUUUUCUAACUUCGCUUCUGGUGAAGCAACGGAGUUGGAACAAGCAGAUAUAUUAUAAUUGGGUCACCGGAAAGCCAAAAAGGUAACGCACAAGUUGGAAGACCCAAUAGUUUUCUAACUUCGCUUCUGGUGAAGCAACGGAGUUGGAACAAGCAGAUAUAUUAUAAUUGGGUCACCGGAAAGCCAAAAAGGUAACGCACAAGUUGGAAGACCCAAUAGUUUUCUAACUUCGCUUCUGGUGAAGCAACGGAGUUGGAACAAGCAGAUAUAUUAUAAUUGGGUCACCGGAAAGCCAAAAAGGUAACGCACAACUUCGAAGACCCAGUAGUUUUCUAACUUCGCUUCUGGUGAAGCAAC
This is a long non-coding RNA of Diabrotica virgifera virgifera (western corn rootworm), 502 nucleotides long. RefSeq lists it as uncharacterized. The transcript has 3 exons. The record is from RefSeq and is a predicted model, not a curated record. NCBI's taxonomy places the organism in Eukaryota, Metazoa, Arthropoda, Insecta, Coleoptera, Chrysomelidae.